UUCCGGUUGAUCCUGCCGGAGGUUACUGCUAUCGGAGUUCGAUUAAGCCAUGUGAGUCUAAAGGUUUCUUCGGAAGCCUUGGCGGACUGCUCAGUAACACGUGGAUAACCUGCCCUUAGGUCUGGCACAACCCCGGGAAACUGGGGAUAAUACCGGAUAGAUCAGGGGUCGCUGGAAUGCGCCCUGAUCCAAAGCUCCGGCGCCUAAGGAUGGGUCUGCGACCUAUCAGGUUGUAGUGGGUGUAAUGUACCUACUAGCCGACGACGGGUACGGGUUGUGAGAGCAAGAGCCCGGAGAUGGAUUCUGAGACACGAAUCCAGGCCCUACGGGGUGCAGCAGGCGCGAAACCUUUACAAUGUGCGAAAGCAUGAUAAGGGAACUCCGAGUGCCAGCAUUAAAUGUUGGCUGUCCUUGUGCCUAAAACGCACAAGAUAGCAAGGGCCGGGUAAGACCGGUGCCAGCCGCCGCGGUAACACCGGCGGCCCGAGUGGUAAUCGCUAUUAUUGGGUCUAAAGGGUCCGUAGCCGGUUUGAUAAGUCCUCUGGGAAAUCUGAUUGCUCAACAAUCAGGCUGCCAAGGGAUACUGUCAAACUUGAGACCGGGAGAGGUAAGAGGUACUUCAGGGGUAGGAGUGAAAUCUUAUAAUCCUUGGGGGACCGUCUGUGGCGAAGGCGUCUUACCAGAACGGGUCUGACGGUGAGGGACGAAAGCUGGGGGCGCGAACCGGAUUAGAUACCCGGGUAGUCCCAGCCGUAAACGAUGCUCGCUAUGUGUCAGAUACGGUGCGACCGUAUCUGGUGCCGUAGGGAAGCCGUGAAGCGAGCCACCUGGGAAGUACGGCCGCAAGGCUGAAACUUAAAGGAAUUGGCGGGGGAGCACUACAACGGGUGGAGCCUGCGGUUUAAUUGGAUUCAACGC
RNAcentral lists this ribosomal RNA (918 nucleotides) under uncultured Methanosarcinales archaeon. RNAcentral describes it as "bacterial SSU rRNA". It matches the Rfam family "Archaeal small subunit ribosomal RNA", at positions 1 to 918 of the family's 1478-position model. Lineage: Archaea; Methanobacteriati; Methanobacteriota; Methanomicrobia; Methanosarcinales. The record is from RNAcentral.